This 505-nucleotide ribosomal RNA is filed under the name uncultured bacterium. RNAcentral describes it as "partial 16S ribosomal RNA". It matches the Rfam family "Bacterial small subunit ribosomal RNA", at positions 28 to 507 of the family's 1533-position model. The record is from RNAcentral.
GACGAACGCUGGCGGCGUGCCUAAUACAUGCAAGUAGAACGCACAGUUUAUACCGUAGCUUGCUACACCAUAGACUGUGAGUUGCGAACGGGUGAGUAACGCGUAGGUAACCUACCUGGUAGCGUGGGAUAACUAUUGGAAACGAUAGCUAAUACCGCAUAAUAUUGAUUAUUGCAUGAUAAUUCAUUGAAAGGUGCAAUUGCACCACUACCAGCUGGUCCUGCGUUGUAUUAGCUAGUAGGUGAGGUAACGGCUCACCUAGGCGACGAUACAUAGCCGGCCUGGGAAGGAGAUCGGCCAAAACGGGAACGAGAAAAGGGCCAGAACUCCAAGGGGAGCAGGAGGAGGGGAUCAUUGGAAAUGGAGGGAAGUCUUAACGAAGAACGACGGGGGGGUGAAGAAGGGUUUCGGAUCGUAAAGGUCUGUUGUAAGGGAAGAAAGGGUGGGAGGGUAGAAAGUUCACGCUGUGACGGUAUCUUAACAGAAAGGAACGGCUAACUACGUG